RNAcentral lists this ribosomal RNA (377 nucleotides) under uncultured eukaryote. RNAcentral describes it as "partial 18S ribosomal RNA". It matches the Rfam family "Eukaryotic small subunit ribosomal RNA", at positions 592 to 976 of the family's 1831-position model. The record is from RNAcentral.
CAAUAGCGUAUAUUAAAGUUGUUGCAGUUAAAAAGCUCGUAGUUGGAUCUCGGGUCCAGGCUUGUGGUGCAGCUUAGGCUGCUGACUGCUCGUCCUGACCUCCCUCCCGGUUUUCCCUUGGUGCUCUUAAGUGAGUGUCUUGGGUGGCCGGAACGUUUACUUUGAAAAAAUUAGAGUGCUCAAAGCAGGCUUUCGCCUGAAUAUUAGUGCAUGGAAUAAUAGAAUAGGACUCGUUUCUAUUUUGUUGGUUUGUUAGGAAUGAGUAAUGAUUAAGAGGGACAGAUGGGGGCAUUUGUAUUACGAGGCUAGAGGUGAAAUUCUUAGAUUCUCGUAAGACAAACUGCUGCGAAAGCGUCUGCCAAGGAUGUUUUCAUUGA